RNAcentral lists this ribosomal RNA (281 nucleotides) under uncultured bacterium. RNAcentral's name for it is "partial 16S ribosomal RNA". It matches the Rfam family "Bacterial small subunit ribosomal RNA", at positions 338 to 633 of the family's 1533-position model. The record is from RNAcentral.
CCUACGGGAGGCAGCAGUGGGGGAUAUUGCACAAUGGGGGAAACCCUGAUGCAGCGACGCCGCGUGAGUGAAGAAGUAUUUCGGUAUGUAAAGCUCUAUCGGCAGGGAAGAAAAAAAUGACAGUACCUGACUAAGAAGCCCCGGCUAACUACGGGCCAGCAGCCGCGGUAAUACGUAGGGGGCAAGCGUUAUCCGGAUUUACUGGGUGUAAAGGGAGCGUAGACGGCAGCGCAAGUCUGGAGUGAAAUGCCGGGGCCCAAACCCGGGACUGCUUUGGAAAC